UGGGGAAUAUUGCGCAAUGGGCGAAAGCCUGACGCAGCGACGCCGCGUGGGUGAUGAAGGCCUUCGGGUCGUAAAGCCCUGUCGGAGGGGACGAACCCUCUACGACCUAACACGUCGUAGACCUGACGGUACCCUCUAAGGAAGCACCGGCUAACUCCGUGCCAGCAGCCGCGGUAAUACGGAGGGUGCGAGCGUUGUUCGGAAUUACUGGGCGUAAAGCGCGUGUAGGCGGCCAUCUAAGUCUGGUGUGAAAUCCCGGGGCUUAACCACGGAAGCGCACUGGAUACUGGGUAGCUAGAGUACUGGAGAGGAGGGUGGAAUUCCUGGUGUAGCGGUGAAAUGCGUAGAUAUCAGGAAGAACACCGGUGGCGAAGGCGGCCCUCUGGACAGAUACUGACGCUGAGACGCGAAAGCGUGGGGAGCAAACAG
RNAcentral lists this ribosomal RNA (429 nucleotides) under uncultured bacterium. RNAcentral's name for it is "bacterial SSU rRNA". It matches the Rfam family "Bacterial small subunit ribosomal RNA", at positions 355 to 775 of the family's 1533-position model. The record is from RNAcentral.